RNAcentral lists this transfer RNA (76 nucleotides) under Dipteryx alata. Its description in RNAcentral is "tRNA-Lys". It matches the Rfam family "tRNA". Rfam says of the family: Transfer RNA (tRNA) molecules are approximately 80 nucleotides in length. Their secondary structure includes four short double-helical elements and three loops (D, anti-codon, and T loops). The record is from RNAcentral. Lineage: Eukaryota; Viridiplantae; Streptophyta; Magnoliopsida; Fabales; Fabaceae.
GGGUUGCUAACUCAACGGUAGAGUACUCGGCUUUUAACCGUCUGACUAGUUCCGGGUUCGAAUCCCGGGCAACCCA